Molecule: ribosomal RNA, 253 nt
Filed under: uncultured bacterium
Lineage: Bacteria
Description: partial 16S ribosomal RNA
Rfam family: Bacterial small subunit ribosomal RNA
Source: RNAcentral
UACGUAGGGUGCAAGCGUUGUCCGGAAUUAUUGGGCGUAAAGAGCUCGUAGGCGGUCUAUCGCGUCUGCUGUGAAAACUCGGGGCUUAACCCCGGGCCUGCAGUGGGUACGGGCAGACUAGAGUGCGGUAGGGGAGACUGGAAUUCCUGGUGUAGCGGUGAAAUGCGCAGAUAUCAGGAAGAACACCCGUGGCGAAGGCGGCUCUCUGGGACGGUACUGACGCUGAGACGCGAAAGCGUGGGGAGCGAACAGG